Long non-coding RNA from Lotus japonicus, 591 nucleotides. RefSeq lists it as uncharacterized. Lineage: Eukaryota; Viridiplantae; Streptophyta; Magnoliopsida; Fabales; Fabaceae. The transcript is spliced from 2 exons. The record is from RefSeq and is a predicted model, not a curated record.
GUCAUGCACUGUCUCUUCCAUUAGCUUGAUUUUCCUACACUGGAUCUGCAACUGGAUCAUUCAUCCCUUGAUUUUCAUGCAAUGGAUCAUUCAUCCCUUGCUGUUGUAGUGAAAUUAAAGUUCUGCGUCUGUCAGCCGGUUCGUGAUGAUUUGUUGUGCGGGAAAGACCCGGAGCGGAACGACUAUUACUGAGGCUUUCGACGAGGACCCGGACUUCAUGCCUGAUCGAGGGAGGGUCGAUGAUAGUAGUGUGGGGUAUGGGUGGUUAGAGUCUUUUGGAAUUGGUUGUUACUGUAAUAGCUCUGAUUCGUUUUGCUUUUGUGACAAGUAGGUUCCCGAUGCAUGGCUUUUUGUGUGGUUCUCUUACGGAGGGAUCACAGUGAGUCAGUCGGACCAUAGGGGUCUUUGCUUAGGCCAUUUGAGGCCGACUUUCUCCUAGUGGUUUGUAAUUAUACUUUUUCUCACUCACACUUCUGGAUCUGUAAAUAUUUGCCUACGGGCACACUACUUUGGAGUCACUGCGAGUGUGUGUGACGUGGAAGUGCAGCUGAGGCUGUACAUGUUUAUAUUUGAUGUAUAUUGGUUAGUUUA